AUGGGUAUGGGCAGUGGCUGGGAGCUGAAACCCAAGCUUCAGAUGACAGACACAGGGAGAGUACUGGAGUUGGCUGUUGGAGAAAGCCUGAAGGGGCUGGAGUGUGGUCCCAUGGAGGAAAAGGAAGAUGCAGAUGUCCAGGCAGACAUGUACACAAUAUGUCCAUGUUAUAUGUCAGAAAUGAGCUUAGAGAACUUUUGUGCUUAUAAGGGAGCUGAUAGCAAAUAUACUCAGUCUUUGUUCUGGAGGGAGCCAUUACUUUUAUUUUUUGGACAGCAAAACUUGAUAUGUCCUCUUAAGAAUAAGAGCUCUUCCACUGGAGGCCUACACGCCGCCACCCGCGCUGCAGCCCUGUCUCUAGUAAUCCUUGAGAAGUUCCAGCACAUUUUGCGAGUACUCAACACCACCAUUGAUGGGUGGCAGAAAAUUGCCUUUGCUACCACUGCGAUUAAGGGUGUAGGACGGAGAUAUGCUCACGUGGUGUUGAGGAAAGCAGACAUUGACCUCACCAAGAGGGCAGGAGAGCUCACAGAGGAUGAGGUGGAACAUGUAAUCACCAUUAUGCAGAAUCCAGGCCAAUACAAGAUUCCAGACUGGUUCUUAAAUAGACAGAAGGAUGUGAAGGAUGGGAAGUACAGCCAGGUCCUGGCCAACGGUCUGGAUAACAAACUCCAUGAAGACGUGGAGCGACUGAAGAAGAUUCGGGCCCACAGAGGGCUGCGCCACUUCUGGGGACUGCGUGUCGGAGGCCAGCACACCAAGACCACAGGCCGCCGUGGCCACACCGUGGGUGUGUCCAAGAAGAAAUAAAUGUGUCGGUGCUGCCUGUUAAUAAAUAGUUUA
This is a non-coding RNA of Sus scrofa (pig), 843 nucleotides long. Lineage: Eukaryota; Metazoa; Chordata; Mammalia; Artiodactyla; Suidae. The record is from RefSeq and is a predicted model, not a curated record.